RNAcentral lists this ribosomal RNA (305 nucleotides) under uncultured bacterium. Its description in RNAcentral is "bacterial SSU rRNA". It matches the Rfam family "Bacterial small subunit ribosomal RNA", at positions 337 to 634 of the family's 1533-position model. The record is from RNAcentral.
GCCUACGGGGGGCAGCAGUAGGGAAUCUUCUACAAUGGGCGAAAGCCUGAUGGAGCAACGCCGCGUGGGUGAAGAAGGUCUCCGGAUCGUAAAACCCUGUUGUUAGAGAAGAAAGUGCGUGAGAGUAACUGUUCACGUUUCGACGGUAUCUAACCAGAAAGCCACGGCUAACUACGUGCCAGCAGCCGCGGUAAUACGUAGGUGGCAAGCGUUAUCCGGAUUUAUUGGGCGUAAAGGGAACGCAGGCGGUCUUUUAAGUCUGAUGUGAAAGCCUUCGGCUUGACCGGAGUAGUGCAUUGGAAACU